AACGAACGCUGGCGGCGCGCCUAAUACAUGCAAGUCGAGCGAGAAGACGUAGCAAUACGUUUGUAAAGCGGCGAACGGGUGAGGAAUACAUGGGUAACCUACCCUCGAGUGGGGAAUAACUAGCCAAAGGUUAGCUAAUACCGCGUACGCUCCUUGGACUUCGGUUCAGGGAGGAAAGCGAUACCGUGGGUAUCGCGCUCUUGGAUGGGCUCAUGUCCUAUCAGCUUGUUGGUGAGGUAACGGCUCACCAAGGCUUCGACGGGUAGCUGGUCUGAGAGGACAAUCAGCCACACUGGCACUGCGACACGGGCCAGACUCCUACGGGAGGCAGCAAGUAAGGAAUAUUG
Molecule: ribosomal RNA, 347 nt
Filed under: uncultured bacterium
Lineage: Bacteria
Description: bacterial SSU rRNA
Rfam family: Bacterial small subunit ribosomal RNA
Source: RNAcentral